RNAcentral lists this ribosomal RNA (280 nucleotides) under Phocaeicola plebeius DSM 17135. RNAcentral describes it as "partial 16S ribosomal RNA". It matches the Rfam family "Bacterial small subunit ribosomal RNA", at positions 524 to 808 of the family's 1533-position model. Lineage: Bacteria; Pseudomonadati; Bacteroidota; Bacteroidia; Bacteroidales; Bacteroidaceae. The record is from RNAcentral.
UACGGAGGAUGCGAGCGUUAUCCGGAUUUAUUGGGUUUAAAGGGAGCGCAGACGGGUCGUUAAGUCAGCUGUGAAAGUUUGGGGCUCAACCUUAAAAUUGCAGUUGAUACUGGCGUCCUUGAGUGCGGUUGAGGUGUGCGGAAUUCGUGGUGUAGCGGUGAAAUGCUUAGAUAUCACGAAGAACUCCGAUUGCGAAGGCAGCACACUAAGCCGUAACUGACGUUCAUGCUCGAAAGUGUGGGUAUCAAACAGGAUUAGAUACCCCGUCCAGCUGACUACU